This 442-nucleotide ribosomal RNA is filed under the name uncultured bacterium. RNAcentral describes it as "bacterial SSU rRNA". It matches the Rfam family "Bacterial small subunit ribosomal RNA", at positions 337 to 796 of the family's 1533-position model. The record is from RNAcentral.
UCCUACGGGAGGCAGCAGUGGGGAAUAUUGGACAAUGGGCGCAAGCCUGAUCCAGCAAUGCCGCGUGAGUGAGGAAGGCCUUAGGGUUGUAAAGCUCUUUCACCCACGACGAUGAUGACGGUAGUGGGAGAAGAAGCCCCGGCUAACUUCGUGCCAGCAGCCGCGGUAAUACGAAGGGGGCGAGCGUUGUUCGGAUUUACUGGGCGUAAAGGGCGCGCAGGCGGCUAUCUUUGUCAGGCGUGAAAGCCCCGGGCUCAACCUGGGAAUGGCGCUUGGGACGGGGUGGCUAGAGAUCGGGAGAGGAGCGUGGAAUUCCCAGUGUAGAGGUGAAAUUCGUAGAUAUUGGGAAGAACACCGGUGGCGAAGGCGGCGCUCUGGACCGAUACUGACGCUGAGGCGCGAAAGCGUGGGGAGCAAACAGGAUUAGAUACCCCGGUAGUCC